GAAAUGCGAUAAGUAAUGUGAAUUGCAGAAUUCAGUGAAUCAUCGAAUCUUUGAACGCACCUUGCGCUCCUUGGUAUUCCUUGGAGCAUGCCUGUUUGAGUAUCAUGAAAUCUUCAAAGUAAAUCUUUUGUUAACUCAAUUGGUUUCUACUUUGGUAUUGGAGGUCUUUGCAGCUUCACACCUGCUCCUCUUUGUUCAUUAGCUGGAUCUCAGUGUUAUGCUUGGCUCCACUCGGCGUGAUAAGUUAUCUAUCGCUGAGGACACUGUAAAAGGUGGCCAAGGUAAAUGCAGAUGAACCGCUUCUAAUAGUCCAUUGACUUGGACAAUACUUUUAUGAUCUGAUCUCAAAUCAGGUAGGACUACCCGCUGAACUUAAGCA
Molecule: unclassified non-coding RNA, 379 nt
Filed under: plant metagenome
Description: partial contains 5.8S ribosomal RNA, internal transcribed spacer 2, and large subunit ribosomal RNA
Rfam family: 5.8S ribosomal RNA (bases 1-105)
Source: RNAcentral